AGAGUUUGAUCCUGGCUCAGGACGAACGCUGGCGGCGUGCCUAAUACAUGCAAGUCGAGCGGACAGAAGGGAGCUUGCUCCCGGAUGUUAGCGGCGGACGGGUGAGUAACACGUGGGUAACCUGCCUGUAAGACUGGGAUAACUCCGGGAAACCGGAGCUAAUACCGGAUAGUUCCUUGAACCGCAUGGUUCAAGGAUGAAAGACGGUUUCGGCUGUCACUUACAGAUGGACCCGCGGCGCAUUAGCUAGUUGGUGAGGUAACGGCUCACCAAGGCGACGAUGCGUAGCCGACCUGAGAGGGUGAUCGGCCACACUGGGACUGAGACACGGCCCAGACUCCUACGGGAGGCAGCAGUAGGGAAUCUUCCGCAAUGGACGAAAGUCUGACGGAGCAACGCCGCGUGAGUGAUGAAGGUUUUCGGAUCGUAAAGCUCUGUUGUUAGGGAAGAACAAGUGCAAGAGUAACUGCUUGCACCUUGACGGUACCUAACCAGAAAGCCACGGCUAACUACGUGCCAGCAGCCGCGGUAAUACGUAGGUGGCAAGCGUUGUCCGGAAUUAUUGGGCGUAAAGGGCUCGCAGGCGGUUUCUUAAGUCUGAUGUGAAAGCCCCCGGCUCAACCGGGGAGGGUCAUUGGAAACUGGGAAACUUGAGUGCAGAAGAGGAGAGUGGAAUUCCACGUGUAGCGGUGAAAUGCGUAGAGAUGUGGAGGAACACCAGUGGCGAAGGCGACUCUCUGGUCUGUAACUGACG
This 754-nucleotide ribosomal RNA is filed under the name Bacillus sp. H2.1. RNAcentral describes it as "bacterial SSU rRNA". It matches the Rfam family "Bacterial small subunit ribosomal RNA", at positions 8 to 745 of the family's 1533-position model. The record is from RNAcentral. Lineage: Bacteria; Bacillati; Bacillota; Bacilli; Caryophanales; Bacillaceae.